GUAAAUCCGAGGUACCAUAGUUAAUGUCUUCAAGACUUCAAUCCCUUUAAACGUUCUGAUCUUUUUCCUCUUAUAACGUCACUAUUCUUUUUGCCUUUCUUCACCUCUCUUUGGUCACUUUUCAUGUAUAUAACUCUUCUUCAUUAUAUAUAUUCCAUUGUUGAACUAUCUGGGUUGUUAUUAGUUAAAUUUCUAACAGUUGUGCAAUGAGAUUACCUAUUCUCAUAUUUGUGGCAUCUCUUCUGAUUUUUGCAACUUUUGGAUCUCAUGCAGUGGCUAGAAAAAAUUUCUUCACUACUCAGUUUCAGGAUGCAACGAAAAGAAGCUUGAAAGACUCACAGAAUGCUAUUGGCAUUUGCUUCUCUAGCUCUGAGAAAAAGAGCGGUGCUUUGGAGGACAAACGAGUUGUUCCUACUGGUCCAAAUCCCUUACACAACAAGUAGAAGAGAAGAUGCAAGUGGAUGGAUCGUUACAGAGGGCAAAGUGAUCAGAGAUAAUAUAAAAGGCUGAGCAGCAAGCAGUGUAAUUGUGAAAAGACGAAGGGAGCGAGUCAGAUUGGUUUUCGUGUAAGCAUAACUUGAUAGUGCUAGAUAAUUAUUUGCUUAUAAUUGAGUAAUUUUGAGUGCCUUGUAAAAUCAGAAUUUAAGUUUAAUUACAUAUGAUGAUUUUACUUCGUC
Mangifera indica (mango) is the source of this 677-nucleotide long non-coding RNA. RefSeq lists it as uncharacterized. The record is from RefSeq and is a predicted model, not a curated record. Lineage: Eukaryota; Viridiplantae; Streptophyta; Magnoliopsida; Sapindales; Anacardiaceae. The transcript has 2 exons.